GAGAUAGCUGGUUCUCUCCGAAAUAGCUUUAGGGCUAGCCUCAAGUGAUGAUUAUUGGAGGUAGAGCACUGUUUGGACGAGGGGCCCCUCUCGGGUUACCGAAUUCAGACAAACUCCGAAUGCCAAUUAAUUUAACUUGGGAGUCAGAACAUGGGUGAUAAGGUCCGUGUUCGAAAGGGAAACAGCCCAGACCACCAGCUAAGGUCCCAAAAUAUAUGUUAAGUGGAAAAGGAUGUGGCGUUGCCCAGACAACUAGGAUGUUGGCUUAGAAGCAGCCAUCAUUUAAAGAGUGCGUAAUAGCUCACUAGUCGAGUGACACUGCGCCGAAAAUGUACCGGGGCUAAACAUAUUACCGAAGCUGUGGAUUGUCCUUUGGACAAUGGUAGGAGAGCGUUCUAAGGGCGUUGAAGCAUGAUCGUAAGGACAUGUGGAGCGCUUAGAAGUGAGAAUGCCGGUGUGAGUAGCGAAAGACGGGUGAGAAUCCCGUCCACCGAUUGACUAAGGUUUCCAGAGGAAGGCUCGUCCGCUCUGGGUUAGUCGGGUCCUAAGCUGAGGCCGACAGGCGUAGGCGAUGGAUAACAGGUUGAUAUUCCUGUACCACCUAUAAUCGUUUUAAUCGAUGGGGGGACGCAGUAGGAUAGGCGAAGCGUGCGAUUGGAUUGCACGUCUAAGCAGUAAGGCUGAGUAUUAGGCAAAUCCGGUACUCGUUAAGGCUGAGCUGUGAUGGGGAGAAGACAUUGUGUCUUCGAGUCGUUGAUUUCACACUGCCGAGAAAAGCCUCUAGAUAGAAAAUAGGUGCCCGUACCGCAAACCGACACAGGUAGUCAAGAUGAGAAUUCUAAGGUGAGCGAGCGAACUCUCGUUAAGGAACUCGGCAAAAUGACCCCGUAACUUCGGGAGAAGGGGUGCUCUUUAGGGUUAACGCCCAGAAGAGCCGCAGUGAAUAGGCCCAAGCGACUGUUUAUCAAAAACACAGGUCUCUGCUAAACCGUAAGGUGAUGUAUAGGGGCUGACGCCUGCCCGGUGCUGGAAGGUUAAGAGGAGUGGUUAGCUUCUGCGAAGCUACGAAUCGAAGCCCCAGUAAACGGCGGCCGUAACUAUAACGGUCCUAAGGUAGCGAAAUUCCUUGUCGGGUAAGUUCCGACCCGCACGAAAGGCGUAACGAUUUGGGCACUGUCUCAACGAGAGACUCGGUGAAAUCAUAGUACCUGUGAAGAUGCAGGUUACCCGCGACAGGACGGAAAGACCCCGUGGAGCUUUACUGUAGCCUGAUAUUGAAAUUCGGCACAGCUUGUACAGGAUAGGUAGGAGCCUUUGAAACGUGAGCGCUAGCUUACGUGGAGGCGCUGGUGGGAUACUACCCUAGCUGUGUUGGCUUUCUAACCCGCACCACUUAUCGUGGUGGGAGACAGUGUCAGGCGGGCAGUUUGACUGGGGCGGUCGCCUCCUAAAAGGUAACGGAGGCGCUCAAAGGUUCCCUCAGAAUGGUUGGAAAUCAUUCAUAGAGUGUAAAGGCAUAAGGGAGCUUGACUGCGAGACCUACAAGUCGAGCAGGGUCGAAAGACGGACUUAGUGAUCCGGUGGUUCCGCAUGGAAGGGCCAUCGCUCAACGGAUAAAAGCUACCCCGGGGAUAACAGGCUUAUCUCCCCCAAGAGUUCACAUCGACGGGGAGGUUUGGCACCUCGAUGUCGGCUCAUCGCAUCCUGGGGCUGUAGUCGGUCCCAAGGGUUGGGCUGUUCGCCCAUUAAAGCGGUACGCGAGCUGGGUUCAGAACGUCGUGAGACAGUUCGGUCCCUAUCCGUCGUGGGCGUAGGAAAUUUGAGAGGAGCUGUCCUUAGUACGAGAGGACCGGGAUGGACAUACCUCUGGUGUACCAGUUGUCGUGCCAACGGCAUAGCUGGGUAGCUAUGUGUGGACGGGAUAAGUGCUGAAAGCAUCUAAGCAUGAAGCCCCCCUCAAGAUGAGAUUUCCCAACUUCGGUUAUAAGAUCCCUCAAAGAUGAUGAGGUUAAUAGGUUCGAGGUGGAAGCAUGGUGACAUGUGGAGCUGACGAAUACUAAUCGAUCGAAGACUUAAUCAA
This 2080-nucleotide ribosomal RNA is filed under the name Staphylococcus aureus. RNAcentral describes it as "partial 23S ribosomal RNA". It matches the Rfam family "Bacterial large subunit ribosomal RNA", at positions 842 to 2925 of the family's 2925-position model. The record is from RNAcentral. Lineage: Bacteria; Bacillati; Bacillota; Bacilli; Caryophanales; Staphylococcaceae.